RNAcentral lists this ribosomal RNA (445 nucleotides) under uncultured bacterium. Its description in RNAcentral is "partial 16S ribosomal RNA". It matches the Rfam family "Bacterial small subunit ribosomal RNA", at positions 354 to 796 of the family's 1533-position model. The record is from RNAcentral.
GUGAGGAAUAUUGGUCAAUGGGCGGGAGCCUGAACCAGCCAAGUCGCGUGAAGGAAGAAGGAUCUAUGGUUCGUAAACUUCUUUUGCAGGGGAAUAAAGUGCGGGACGUGUCCUGUUUUGUAUGUACCCUGAGAAUAAGGAUCGGCUAACUCCGUGCCAGCAGCCGCGGUAAUACGGAGGAUCCGAGCGUUAUCCGGAUUUAUUGGGUUUAAAGGGUGCGUAGGCGGACUAUUAAGUCAGUGGUGAAAUCCUGCAGCUUAACUGCAGAACUGCCAUUGAUACUGAUAGCCUUGAGUUUGGUUAAGGUAGGCGGAAUGUGUAAUGUAGCGGUGAAAUGCUUAGAUAUUACACAGAACACCAAUUGCGUAGGCAGCUUACUGAGCCGACACUGACGCUGAGGCACGAAAGCGUGGGGAUCGAACAGGAUUAGAUACCCUUGUAGUCC